CCUACGGGAGGCUGCAGUAGGGAAUAUUGCUCAAUGGGGGCAACCCUGAAGCAGCAACGCCGCGUGGAGGAUGAAGGUUUUCGGAUUGUAAACUCCUUUUGUUAGAGAAGAUAAUGACGGUAUCUAACGAAUUAGCACCGGCUAACUCCGUGCCAGCAGCCGCGGUAAUACGGCGGGUGCAAGCGUUACUCGGAAUCACUGGGCGUAAAGGGCGCGUAGGCGGGAUAGCAAGUCAGAUGUGAAAUCCUAUGGCUUAACCAUAGAACUGCAUUUGAAACUGUUAUUCUAGAGUAUGGGAGAGGUAGGUGGAAUUCGUGGUGUAGGGGUAAAAUCCGUAGAGAUCAAGAGGAAUACUCAUUGCGAAGGCGACCUGCUAGAACAUAACUGACGCUGAUGCGCGAAAGCGUGGGGAGCAAACAGGAUUAGAUACCCCUGUAGUC
RNAcentral lists this ribosomal RNA (440 nucleotides) under uncultured bacterium. Its description in RNAcentral is "partial 16S ribosomal RNA". It matches the Rfam family "Bacterial small subunit ribosomal RNA", at positions 338 to 795 of the family's 1533-position model. The record is from RNAcentral.